Molecule: ribosomal RNA, 305 nt
Filed under: uncultured bacterium
Lineage: Bacteria
Description: bacterial SSU rRNA
Rfam family: Bacterial small subunit ribosomal RNA
Source: RNAcentral
CCCUACGGGGGGCAGCAGUGAGGAAUAUUGGUCAAUGGGCGAGAGACUGAACCAGCCAAGCCGCGUGAGGGAUGAAGGUACAGAGUAUUGUAAACCUCUUUUGUCAGGGAACAAAGCCGGGGACGUGUCCCCGGCUGAGUGUAUCUGAAGAAAAAGCAUCGGCUAACUCCGUGCCAGCAGCCGCGGUAAUACGGAGGAUGCGAGCGUUAUCCGGAUUUAUUGGGUUUAAAGGGUGCGCAGGCGGUCUGUUAAGUCAGCGGUCAAAUUCCGGGGUUCAACCCCGGCCCGCCGUUGAAACUGGCAGU